This 253-nucleotide ribosomal RNA is filed under the name uncultured bacterium. RNAcentral's name for it is "partial 16S ribosomal RNA". It matches the Rfam family "Bacterial small subunit ribosomal RNA", at positions 524 to 776 of the family's 1533-position model. The record is from RNAcentral.
UACGAAGGGGGCGAGCGUUGUUCGGAUUUACUGGGCGUAAAGGGAGCGUAGGCGGGUUAUCAAGUUGGAGGUGAAAGCCCAGGGCUCAACCUUGGAAUUGCCUUCAAAACUGAUAGCCUAGAGUAUGGAAGAGGUAAGUGGAACUCCGAGUGUAGAGGUGAAAUUCGUAGAUAUUCGGAAGAACACCAGUGGCGAAGGCGACUUACUGGUCCAUGACUGACGCUGAGGCUCGAAAGCGUGGGGAGCAAACAGG